CUUGGGGACUUUUCUUUUCUGCUUUGCAGGCCCAGGCUCGAGGCAAAUUAUAAAUAGGGAACCAAUUUGAGGGAAAGACAUGUGAACAGAGUUAAGGUACCACGUCCUGGGAGCGACCAGCAGCCCCACCUGAAGUCCGCAUGCAACUCUGACAAGCUCAGGUGCUUGUUUUAAGGAAAGGGGCUACUAGAUUCUUACCAACAGCGAGCCCAGGUGGGAGAUGAAACAGGUACUCCCCAAAAUAGGUCAUCCGAGGGAGGAAAACUGAUGGAGAGCACAAUAUGCUCUGAGCGUUUUUAAUGUUUUUAAGCUUUUAAAUGAUUUCUUCAAGGCCGAGCAGCAGCAGCAAAGGUGUGGUUUAAAGGAUUAAGGGGGUUUUUGCUGACACCUAGAAUGAAGUUACUCUAUUACUAAUCAAGCCGAGAGGAGGCCCACUAUGCCCCCGUUUAUCAUCCUUUCCCAGUUCCUUUUUGCUGGUCACAAAACGAUGCUCAUCAAUCCCACCUAAAGCAGGAGGCCAGGAGCCCAGCCUCUUGUAGAAACAGCGAGGGUAUAACUGCCCUCCCGUUCUGCCCCCAAGACGAAGGAGGACUCUCGGAAGCCAAGAAAGGUUUAAGAAGUCUUUCUGGAUAGAGAGCCGUGCCCAGGGAGGAAGCCUUUCGCCGGCAGAGCGGGGUCCGAGGACGAGCUGGAGAGGACAGAGGCGCGAUGGGCCUGCUGCAGGGCCUGCUCCGAGUCCGGAAGCUGCUGCUGGUCGUCUGCGUCCCGCUCCUGCUGCUGCCUCUGCCCGUCCUCCACCCCAGCAGCGAGGCCUCGUGUGCUUACGUGCUGAUCGUGACUGCUGUGUACUGGGUGUCGGAGGCAGUGCCUCUGGGAGCUGCAGCCCUGGUGCCGGCCUUCCUCUACCCGUUCUUCGGAGUCCUCCGGUCCAAUGAGGUGGCGGCGGAGUACUUCAAGAACACCACGCUGCUGCUGGUGGGGGUCAUCUGCGUGGCGGCUGCCGUGGAGAAGUGGAACCUGCAUAAGCGCAUUGCUCUGCGCAUGGUCUUGAUGGCCGGAGCCAAGCCAGGCAUGCUGCUGCUCUGCUUCAUGUGCUGUACCACGUUGCUGUCCAUGUGGCUGUCCAACACCUCCACCACCGCCAUGGUGAUGCCCAUAGUGGAGGCCGUGCUGCAGGAGCUGGUCAGUGCUGAGGACGAGCAGCUCGUGGCGGGCAACUCCAACACCGAAGAGGCCGAACCCAUCAGUACAGUUUGCUGGAGUUCAUCUCUCCUUUGCUCCUCCAACCUCCCCUGGGGUCCUCCUGCCUGGCUCCUCUAGGGAGACUGCCCAACUUUGUGCCCACCCCAGGACCCCCUCAGCCAUGCCCCCACAUUCCCCUUCCUCUUCCCUCUCUCCUCUUUCCCAUCCCAGCUCUUGGACUCUGAAGCUUCCCUGAACUCCCUGUUCUGGCUCUUCCUUCCUCCUUCACUUCUGGGCUCUUUUCCCCCAAAUGCUCAAGGGUACACACUGCUCUUUGCCCCCAAAUGCUCAAGGAUCACUGCAAAACCCUGGGGCCAGUCUGCAUCCAUGAGCCCCACUCUACUUACAGAGCAAAGGGAAGGAGAAAUGUCACCCACUCCAUAUGGCCCACCUCCGCCCUAAGCCCUUGAGCUAUGCUCCAACCCACAGGGUCAGCCCCAGCCUCCACCUCUCACAUACUGCUUUUCUUUGCUACUCAUAGGUCUGGAUGUAAAGAACAGCCAACCUUCUCUGGAACUCAUCUUUGUCAAUGAAGAGUGAGUAUGACUGCCCUCUUCCCAGAGAGCGCCUCUCAGAGUCCAUAGGGGAGGUCAGAAAAGAGGGGACCUAGACCCAUAAACAGCUCUUUGAGAUGUACCGCCCAAGCUCACCACCUUGCCACACACCGCCCCCCCACCCCGCCCAACCUCCCCCAUUUCCUCUCCAUACCUAGGAGUGACCUGUCAGGACCUGGAGAGUCACUCCCUUAACCACAGUGUUGCAGUGAUGAGGAAGAAAUUAAAAGGCCACACUGAAUCUCAGUGGAUAUACGAACUGUCCACACAGCCACCAUGCAGAAUCUCUUCUAAAUUCAUGUCCCUUUUAGGAAAAUAGUAUGUUUAAUUUGUUAACGGAAAACCGUUCACAUCUCGAUGCCACUGCAGAUUCUUGGAGAAUCAUGAAAUAUUUUCUAGAUAUUAGAUAAGACCUUGGUAGAUUUGGUCUUGUUAGAUAUGGCAAAGAAAACUUAGGUGACAGGUAGGGGAUGAGGGGACAGGAGGUGAGAGGGCCUUGUGAUGAUGGGAAGCAGAGCUGGAAAAGGAGAAGCAGCCUCAGACAUUCCUGGAGGAAGCUCCAUUAACAGCUGAUUCCAUUUGGAGGUUCUAUUUCAAAAUGUGGCCCACAGGCAUGCCGCAAUGAAUAGUCCACAUUUAAAAGCCGGAUUUGUAACACAGCUCAGCUCUGUCAUUUGCCCUUGUUGUAAAAAAGGAGAACGCACAUUGGGUGAAAUCAGCGUUCACAGUGGGACAGACGUGGAAGGGUGCCAUCAGGAAAUCGCUUUAUUUUUCUCCACCACUAUCUUCAAUCAUAGCAUAUUGGAUUUCUUGAUGACAUCACCCUUGAUGAUAUCCCAGGCAAAUCCCGUAGCUCUCCUGGUUCCUUUCAGGUAUUAUAACAAUCUCAUGUUCAGACAUUUGGGAGACUAGUCCAAAUUCAAAUCAAAACUUCAACUUCUCAGCCAAAGCUUCUCCCACACCCACCCACCCCUCACCCUAGGCCUGCAGAAGAAAGAAGGUGAAAGUAAGUCGGGGGAGGGAGUUGACCUUCUUUCUGUCUUCCUCCACCUCCCUCUUCUCCUCCUCCCCUAACCGCACCCUCACUCUGCUGCUUCUGACUUUUCUGGGCUUGGGACAGCUGCUCUAGGGUACAGGAAAGAUAAAUGGGUGAGAAGGGUCUGGACGGGGGCUAUUGAGGUCUGGGGUUGGUGCCCUCUCUGAGAUUUCAGUCCCUGGCUCUUUCAUCUGUGGGGCAACUGCCUUCACGGUCUUUGGAGCAUCCCAUUAUGGCGCCCUCUGCAGGGCCUCAGGCCUGAUGGCAGGGCCUUGCUCUGGGAUUAACACUCACGCCACCCUCCUGGGCCUGUGCUCUGGUGGUUAACUCCCCCACAACCCCUGUAUUGGGGCUGCCUCUGCCUCUGGGCAGGCCUGUCCCAGGUGACCCAGGAAAAGGCCAUCUUCACUGUGGCCUUUUCUCCUCCCUGUGGCCUCUCUGGCAUCACCCUACUGGCUCCUUGCCUUUGCUCUUUUCCACACAAAAAUGUAUCCCCAAACUCCAAAAGAAAAGCCUGAGUUGUCCCUAGAACUCUAAGCAUCUUUUGUGCUGGUGGGAACUGGGUCAUUUGCUGGGUGUGCAGACAGCACUCUUUUGGCCACCACCUCCCAUGCUACCUGAGGAUCCUCGCCUACCCUCCUCACCCAGUUUGGGAAGAAGGGAAGGGAAACAUCACAGCACAUUCUCCUCCCAGGCUAAGAACUCACUCCAAAGAACACUUCCCUCUGCACGCCUGUCAGCUUAUCCUUCCCUGCCAGAGCCUGGAGAGGGACCAUGGCCGCAGGACCCACAUCCCGCAUGUGUGUGCCCAAUACGCUCUCUGUCUUCACAGUGGCUGAGCUGGUGGCUCCCACUGUCCUCGCAACUAAGACAAACUGGAAACAUUCACUGAUCACUCAGUGUGUCAGUUACACUGAUGACUAAGUUCUCAUCUUCUUCUGUCCUCAAGGCAAAGGUUGGGGACCAGCAGGGGUGGGAGAGACUCACCCCCUGAGGUGUACUUGCUGAUCAGAAGUCCUCCCCCUCCCCCACCCUCUCCCUCUCCGUUGACUUUCCCUGAGUACAAUCCAGGCCCUCCCUGCUCCUGUCACCUCAGAUACGCAUAUCACAAGUUCCCCUUUCUAGAUAGUGGUCUUCCCAGAGUCAGCCAGUGAGAACAUGAGAGUCAGCCAGUGAGAACAUGGUCAGGGGGCAUAGGCUCUCCAGAGAGACAGACUCCUGGACUCCUACCCUCCUCCACCACUUAGCAUCCCCGUGCUAAGUACUGGUGUAAAUGGAGGUAUGAAUGCCGGGACCAUAGAUCUGUGAUGAGGAUUAACAACGUCUGGGGGUUAAAGCCCAUAUAUGUGCACUCUCUAUCUAAUAUCCACUCCACGUCUGCUGUUAGGACAAUUGUUAAUAUCAAAGGAAAGUGCUGCCCCUGCCCUCAGAAGGAAGCAGGCCCCUGGCCCCACUAAUCCUUACAGCAUCUCAGAAGGCAAGGAAGACGAGGGAGAGAUUAGUCUUCUUUGGAGACUAGAAAACUGGAAUCCAGAGAGUUUAAGUCCCUUACACAAAACGCCUGAUGCAGGGGGACCUCCCCUCCCAAGAGUCGGCCUCACUGACGUGGCUCCUGUGUCCUCUGCUUGGUUCCAGCAGGUCCAACGCAGACCUCACCACUCUGAUGCACAACGAGGUAUGGCCUUGGGGUUUUUCUGUGCUUUGGAAUCACUUGAAAAUCCCUCAGCACUUCUUCAUGGAAACCCAAGAUUCAGAACCAGAUUUUCAACAGCCACAGAUCCACCUUAGAGUUCCUUUCAGUGAGGAUUCCAUUGACAGAAUGUUAUUAUUAAAAAGGACACAUUGGCUGGGCGUGGUAGCUCAUGCCUGUACUCCCAGCACUUUGGGAGGCCACAGCAGGAGGAUCACUUGAGGCCAGGAGUUCAAGACCAGCCUGGCCAACAUGGUGAAACCCCGCCUGUACUAAAAAUACAAAAAUUAGCCAGGAGUGGUGAUGGGCACCUGUAAUCCCCACUACUUGGGAGGCUGAGGCAGGAGAAUCACUUGAACCUGGGAGGCAGAGGUUGCAGUGAGCCCAGAUCGUGCCACUGCACUUCAGCCUGGGCAACAGAGUGAGACCCCCAUCUCAAAAAAUAAAAAUAAAUAAAAAUAAAAAGAACACAUUUACAGGGGAAAGCAGAGUUUACCUGCACACAGUUACUCGAACUUACUUCACCUCCCCCAAAUCUGGUUAUACAUCUUUUCAUGAGAAGUAUAAAAGGCCAAUUAAACAUUGGACUUCAGCUGGGUACAAUGGUGUGCACGUGUACUUCCAGCUACUGGGGAGGCUGAGGCAGGAGGAUCGCUGUGGCCCAGGAGUUUGACCCCAGCCUGGACAACACAGUGAGACCCUGUCUCUAAAACAAACAAAAAACUGUGGACUUGGUUGUGAUUAUUUUUUUUUCAUUUUCUUUUUUUUCAUCUUAUAUAUAAAGGGUUCUUCAUUAGCUAAUAAAGUCCCAGAAAGACUGGCUCUCCUCUAAGGGCAGAGCCAUGUUCUGCCUAGUUUCAAAGCCUCUUCAAGUGCAGAGCUUGACACCAGGCUGGGCGGGGCAGGCCUGGCUGAGGUGCCCUGGUGUAUAUGCUCCCCCUGGCUUCUGGCCUCUGGUUCCCACAGUGCUGAGGCAUGGGGUGGCCCUGGGAUGACUAGGUGGUCCUUCUCAAGGCACCUGGCUCACCACUUCCUCUUCCUAAUAGUGAGAUGGCCUUUGUCCCAACAGAACCUGAAUGGUGUGCCCUCGAUCACCAGCCCCAUCAAAACUGCAAACCAACACCAGGGCAAGAAGCAACACCCAUCCCAGGAAAAGCCACAAGUCCUGACCCCCAGCCCCAGGAAGCAGAAGCUGAACAGAAAGUACAGGUCCCACCAUGACCAGAUGAUCUGCAAGUGCCUCUCCCUGAGCAUAUCCUACUCCGCUACCAUUGGUGGCCUGACCACCAUCAUCGGCACCUCCACCAGCCUCAUCUUCCUGGAACACUUCAACAACCAGUAUCCAGCCGCAGAGGUGGUGAACUUUGGCACCUGGUUCCUCUUCAGCUUCCCCAUAUCCCUCAUCAUGCUGGUGGUCAGCUGGUUCUGGAUGCACUGGCUGUUCCUGGGCUGCAAUUUUAAAGAGACCUGCUCUCUGAGCAAGAAGAAGAAGACCAAAAGGGAACAGUUGUCAGAGAAGAGGAUCCAAGAAGAAUAUGAAAAGCUGGGAGACAUUAGCUACCCUGAAAUGGUGACUGGAUUUUUCUUCAUCCUGAUGACCGUACUGUGGUUUACCCGGGAGCCUGGCUUUGUCCCUGGCUGGGAUUCUUUCUUUGAAAAGAAAGGCUACCGUACUGAUGCCACAGUCUCUGUCUUCCUUGGCUUCCUCCUCUUCCUCAUUCCAGCGAAGAAGCCCUGCUUUGGGAAAAAGAAUGAUGGAGAGAACCAGGAGCACUCACUGGGGACCGAGCCCAUCAUCACGUGGAAGGACUUCCAGAAGACCAUGCCCUGGGAGAUUGUCAUUCUGGUUGGGGGAGGCUAUGCUCUGGCCUCUGGUAGCAAGAGCUCUGGCCUCUCUACAUGGAUUGGGAACCAGAUGUUGUCCCUGAGCAGCCUCCCACCGUGGGCUGUCACCCUGCUGGCAUGCAUCCUCGUGUCCAUUGUCACUGAGUUUGUGAGCAACCCAGCAACCAUCACCAUCUUCCUGCCCAUCCUGUGCAGCCUGUCUGAAACGCUGCACAUUAACCCCCUCUACACCCUGAUCCCAGUCACCAUGUGCAUCUCCUUUGCAGUGAUGCUGCCUGUGGGCAAUCCCCCUAAUGCCAUCGUCUUCAGCUAUGGGCACUGCCAGAUCAAAGAUAUGGUGAAAGCUGGCCUGGGAGUCAACGUUAUUGGACUGGUGAUAGUAAUGGUGGCCAUCAACACCUGGGGAGUUAGCCUCUUCCACCUGGACACUUACCCAGCAUGGGUGAGGGUCAGCAACAUCACUGAUCAAGCCUAACGCCAAGUGUACAAACGGGCCCAACCACAGGAGCUGCCAGUAUCCAGCAGAAUCUGGACCACAGGCAAAGAAAACCACUAGGACCACCAGGAGCCAGGAGCACACAACCCCAGACCCAUGCCGGAGGGCAUCCCUCCACCAGAAGAUUCUGCCACCUCAAGUGAACUGCAGGAAUCCUCCAACAACCACAAACACAUGCUUCGCUGUUAGUGUCUUCUUCCUGCCCUCAGCACCACAGCUCAAGAAAACCUAAAGUUUCAAUACAAGCCAUAGGCUCACAGAAAAAGAAAAAGAAAAUAAAAAUUAAAUUAAAAAAAAAGAAGACAAAG
This 7171-nucleotide small RNA is filed under the name Pan troglodytes (chimpanzee). Its description in RNAcentral is "retained intron". Lineage: Eukaryota; Metazoa; Chordata; Mammalia; Primates; Hominidae. The record is from RNAcentral.